Molecule: long non-coding RNA, 1063 nt
Organism: Sciurus carolinensis (gray squirrel)
Lineage: Eukaryota; Metazoa; Chordata; Mammalia; Rodentia; Sciuridae
Exons: 4
Source: RefSeq, a predicted model, not a curated record
CCCCAUCCUGGAGGGCGACGGGAGGAGGCUCCCCCAGAUCCUCCCUGCCCACCUGAACUCCAGAAAGGGAGGACGAGGAGCCGGGACCGGAGGCCGGGCGGCUCAGACCCCGGGCGCAGGGGGCGCAGGCAGCGGGGCGGGUCUCUCCGGGGACUUCGGCCGCCCUGAGGCGGGCCCAGGCGGCCGCCCGCAGCGGCAGGGACUUCUUCUGGGAGUACCCAACCCGCUGCACAGGGCCCUUCAAGUGACACUGAGCCUUCCAGAGUCCCUCGGGCCUUUCAACAGGACUAGAGUCCGAGGUUUCUCGGAAUUUCCUGGACCUCGAUCCUCCGAGCUGGCAAUGCGCCUGAAUGAACAACCCGGAGGGGUCCCAGGAGCAGAGGCAUCUUUCCCAGGGCCGGGCCGCGACGAUUACACCCGGCAGGGCUCGGGUGUCCGCGCCGUCUAGGACCAGUCUCCAACCUCCUCGGCCGGGCCCAGCGCUUGGGAACCCCGCCCCCGCAGGCAACGGCUUAGGGCGCUGAGCGCGCCCGGGUUGAGGGCGUGGUCUUACGGCAAGCCAAUCCCAGGCCACACCGUGCUAGGGGUGGGGCGUGGUCCCACCCCUCCCCCUCAGCUUUUCGCGGCGGAAACUGUCCGGUGACCCAGGCAACCGCCGAAGCUAACCGCACACCUACGAAUUGCCUGCCAUCCGCCCGUGUGGAAACAGCCGUUCGCGAAGUCAAGGUCCUUUAAGGGACAAAAAGAACAAGGAAUUUAACUGAGGACAUUGACAGAAGCAGGGAAGCCUGCUAAAACGUUAGUGCAACAGUGCAUAUUUCAGGGUGCAGGAGAUGAAGAUAACUUGGACCAGAUGCAGUCUUGCUGUAUUGCCCAAGCUGAUCUCCAACUCUUGAACUCAAGCGAUCUUCCUGCCUCCACCUCCUGAGUAGCUGGGACUACAGGUGCUUGCCACCUUACUCCAUAAUUUCUAAUGUACAAAUCAGUCCUUAAAUCUAUUCCAAAGUAUUUUAUUCUCUUUCAGCUACUGUAUUUAGAAUGGUCUUUAAAUUUCCUUUCUGGG